AGCGAACGCUGGCGGCGUACUUAACACAUGCAAGUCGAACGGGGAUCGUCGGUGUAGCAAUACAUCGGCGGUUCUAGUGGCGCACGGGUGAGUAACACGUGGGUAACCUGCCCUUGAGUUCGGGAUACCCUUUCGAAAGGAAGGCUAAUACCGGAUACGUUCCUCGGAUUGCGAAAUCUGGGGAGGAAAGGUGGCGCAAGCUGCCGCUCUUGGAGGGGCUCGCGGCCUAUCAGCUAGNGGUGAGGUAACGGCUCACCAAGGCUAUGACGGGUAGCUGGUCUGAGAGGACGACCAGCCACACGGGAACUGAGACACGGUCCCGACUCCUACGGGAGGCAGCAGUGGGGAAUUUUGGACAAUGGGCGCAAGCCUGAUCCAGCCAUGCCGCGUGAGUGAAGAAGGCCUGGUU
This 409-nucleotide ribosomal RNA is filed under the name uncultured bacterium. Its description in RNAcentral is "bacterial SSU rRNA". It matches the Rfam family "Bacterial small subunit ribosomal RNA", at positions 29 to 424 of the family's 1533-position model. The record is from RNAcentral.